UAAUGUUUGCCAGACCCUGUAAAGGGGGG
RNAcentral lists this small RNA (29 nucleotides) under Bombyx mori (domestic silkworm). Its description in RNAcentral is "ovarian small RNA-19861". The record is from RNAcentral. Lineage: Eukaryota; Metazoa; Arthropoda; Insecta; Lepidoptera; Bombycidae.